RNAcentral lists this ribosomal RNA (490 nucleotides) under uncultured bacterium. Its description in RNAcentral is "bacterial SSU rRNA". It matches the Rfam family "Bacterial small subunit ribosomal RNA", at positions 30 to 507 of the family's 1533-position model. The record is from RNAcentral.
UGAACGCUAGCUACAGGCUUAACACAUGCAAGUCGAGGGGAAACGAUAUUGGAAGCUUGCUUCUGAUAGGCGUCGACCGGCGCACGGGUGAGUAACGCGUAUCCAACCUGCCCAUCACUUGGGGAUAACCUUGCGAAAGUAAGACUAAUACCCAAUGACGUCUCUAGAAGACAUCUGAAGGAGAUUAAAGAUUUAUCGGUGAUGGAUGGGGAUGCGUCUGAUUAGCUUGUUGGCGGGGUAACGGCCCACCAAGACUACGAUGGAUAGGGGUUCUGAGAGGAAGGUCCCCCACAUUGGAACUGAGACACGGUCCAAACUCCUACGGGAGGCAGCAGUGAGGAAUAUUGGUCAAUGGACGAGAGUCUGAACCAGCCAAGUAGCGUGAAGGAUGACUGCCCUAUGGGUUGUAAACUUCUUUUAUAUGGGAAUAAAGUAUUCCACGUGUGGAAUUUUGUAUGUACCAUAUGAAUAAGGAUCGGCUAACUCCGUG